Molecule: ribosomal RNA, 253 nt
Filed under: uncultured bacterium
Lineage: Bacteria
Description: partial 16S ribosomal RNA
Rfam family: Bacterial small subunit ribosomal RNA
Source: RNAcentral
UACGAAGGGGGCUAGCGUUGCUCGGAAUCACUGGGCGUAAAGCGCACGUAGGCGGACUCUUAAGUCGGUGGUGAAAUCCUGGAGCUCAACUCCAGAACUGCCUUCGAUACUGAGAGUCUCGAGUCCGAGAGAGGUGAGUGGAACUGCGAGUGUAGAGGUGAAAUUCGUAGAUAUUCGCAAGAACACCAGUGGCGAAGGCGGCUCACUGGCCCGAUACUGACGCUGAGGUGCGAAAGCGCGGGGAGCAAACAGG